Long non-coding RNA from Pungitius pungitius (ninespine stickleback), 925 nucleotides. RefSeq lists it as uncharacterized. The record is from RefSeq and is a predicted model, not a curated record. The transcript has 3 exons. Lineage: Eukaryota; Metazoa; Chordata; Actinopteri; Perciformes; Gasterosteidae.
UGUCUGGAAGUCCGCUCCUCGCCAGAAGCUGUCAGCAUUUGGCUUCAUGGUGUUUUCAAACCACUUCAAAUCGAUUGUGAUCGUGAGCAAGAAAGACGCGCUUCAGUUUCUGCUGGAUAAAGUGAGGACUUGUCUCAGCUCCAUGAAGACAUGAUGUGGAACCAGAGGACGAUGGACGUCCAUCGUAUAUUUUAUUCUCCUUUGGGGGCAGCUGCUCACAGGAUGCUGCGAGUCCACCACCUAUAAACUCCAUUAGAGGACCACGAUUUGGAUGAAACUGGGACUCAAAUUCUGCAGCAACAUCCCAACACUGGAUACCAAAUGGAGGUUGGGCCUUGAAUGCACCACACACACGUAUACAAGCUCUCAAUGGCUGCUGUCUUCGUCAUAACGGCAUGAAGAGGAUCCCACCGCAUUGUAGGGGUAAUCUCCCUACAACUAUUUUCUUUUUGUUUAAAUCGGUUUAAAACCCCCCAACAACUGACUUGUAGUUAAGUAUUUCAAGAUUUGAAUUCCAUAAUGUUUUUUUCACCUGAGGUUUUACUUUGACGUUAAGACAAACUGAACUGUGGUCCGACCGCUGCCCAAUUUCACACUCCAUAGCUCUAUAGAUGUCCUAUUUAUUCAUAAAGUAGUCAAUUCUAGCAUAUCGUGUGUGUGUGUGUGUGUGUGUGUGUGUGUGUGUGUGUGUGUGUGUUGUAGCUCGCACCAAAUAUCAACUGUACCAAAUUCUUUGAAUAUGGUAUUAAUUGUUUUCAUGACAUGAUUAGGGUUUGAUGGUUUGUGUCUGGACCACCAUUCAUGUCAAUGUCCAAGUCACUUCCACGUAUUGCUAUUUUCGCGGUUGGUCUCCUGUUUUACUUAUUUUAGAAAAAUAAAGUCUCUACGUGCAAGUAAACAGCAUUGCGUCUCACACCAUCUCAUU